Molecule: non-coding RNA, 59 nt
Organism: Paenibacillus sp. MY03
Lineage: Bacteria; Bacillati; Bacillota; Bacilli; Caryophanales; Paenibacillaceae
Source: Rfam
GAAAGCCGUAUGAGGGAAAACCUCACGUACGGUUUGAUGAGGAGGAGGGCUGUCUCAAA